AAUAGAUACCCCCGGUAGUCCAUGCCGUAAACGAUGAUUACUAAGUGUUGGAGGGUUUCCGCCCGUUCAGUGCUGCAGCUAACGCAUUAAGUAAUCCGCCUGGGGAGUACGACCGCAAGGUUGAAACUCAAAAGAAUUGACGGGGGCCCGCACAAGCGGUGGAGCAUGUGGUUUAAUUCGAAGCUACGCGAAGAACCUUACCAGGUCUUGACAUCUUCUGCCAACCUAAGAGAUUAGGCGUUCCCUUCGGGGACAGAAUGACAGGUGGUGCAUGGUUGUCGUCAGCUCGUGUCGUGAGAUGUUGGGUUAAGUCCCGCAACGAGCGCAACCCUUAUUACUAGUUGCCAGCAUUCAGUUGGGCACUCUAGUGAGACUGCCGGUGACAAACCGGAGGAAGGUGGGGACGACGUCAAAUCAUCAUGCCCCCUUAUGACCUGGGCUACACACGUGCUACAAUGGAUGGUACAACGAGUCGCGAAACCGCGAGGUUUAGCUAAUCUCUUAAAACCAUUCUCAGUUCGGACUGUAGG
This 530-nucleotide ribosomal RNA is filed under the name uncultured bacterium. Its description in RNAcentral is "bacterial SSU rRNA". It matches the Rfam family "Bacterial small subunit ribosomal RNA", at positions 777 to 1304 of the family's 1533-position model. The record is from RNAcentral.